UGGCUCAGAGGGUAAAGCAUCUGCCUGCAAUGCAGGAGACCCGGGUUUGAUUCCUGG
Molecule: transfer RNA, 57 nt
Filed under: Bos taurus (domestic cattle)
Lineage: Eukaryota; Metazoa; Chordata; Mammalia; Artiodactyla; Bovidae
Also listed under: 2 other names
Rfam family: tRNA
About the family: Transfer RNA (tRNA) molecules are approximately 80 nucleotides in length. Their secondary structure includes four short double-helical elements and three loops (D, anti-codon, and T loops). Further hydrogen bonds mediate the characteristic L-shaped molecular structure. tRNAs have two regions of fundamental functional importance: the anti-codon, which is responsible for specific mRNA codon recognition, and the 3' end, to which the tRNAs corresponding amino acid is attached (by aminoacyl-tRNA synthetases). tRNAs cope with the degeneracy of the genetic code in two manners: having more than one tRNA (with a specific anti-codon) for a particular amino acid; and 'wobble' base-pairing, i.e. permitting non-standard base-pairing at the 3rd anti-codon position.
Source: Rfam by way of RNAcentral